This 370-nucleotide ribosomal RNA is filed under the name uncultured bacterium. RNAcentral's name for it is "bacterial SSU rRNA". It matches the Rfam family "Bacterial small subunit ribosomal RNA", at positions 790 to 1167 of the family's 1533-position model. The record is from RNAcentral.
GUAGUCCACGCCGUAAACGAUGGAUACUAGCUGUUGGGAGCGAUCUCAGUGGCUAAGCGAAAGUGAUAAGUAUCCCACCUGGGGAGUACGUUCGCAAGAAUGAAACUCAAAGGAAUUGACGGGGGCCCGCACAAGCGGUGGAGCAUGUGGUUUAAUUCGAUGAUACGCGAGGAACCUUACCAAGGCUUAAAUGUAGAUUGACCGGUUUGGAAACAGACUUUUCGCAAGACAAUUUACAAGGUGCUGCAUGGUUGUCGUCAGCUCGUGCCGUGAGGUGUCAGGUUAAGUCCUAUAACGAGCGCAACCCCUGUUGUUAGUUGCCAGCGAGUCAUGUCGGGAACUCUAACGAGACUGCCGGUGACAAACCGGA